GGCCUACGGGGGGCAGCAGUGGGGAAUAUUGCACAAUGGGGGGAACCCUGAUGCAGCAAUGCCGCGUGGGUGAAGAAGCACUCCGGUGCGUAAAGCCCUGUCAGCAGGGAAGAAAAUGACAGUACCUGACCAAGAAGCCCCGGCUAACUACGUGCCAGCAGCCGCGGUAAUACGUAGGGGGCGAGCGUUAUCCGGAUUUACUGGGUGUAAAGGGAGCGUAGACGGUUCUGCAAGUCUGAAGUGAAAGCCCGUGGCUUAACCGCGGAACGGCUUUGGAAACUGUGGAACUGGAGUGCUGGAGAGGG
Molecule: ribosomal RNA, 305 nt
Filed under: uncultured bacterium
Lineage: Bacteria
Description: bacterial SSU rRNA
Rfam family: Bacterial small subunit ribosomal RNA
Source: RNAcentral